This 676-nucleotide ribosomal RNA is filed under the name Escherichia coli. Its description in RNAcentral is "bacterial LSU rRNA". It matches the Rfam family "Bacterial large subunit ribosomal RNA", at positions 419 to 1095 of the family's 2925-position model. The record is from RNAcentral. Lineage: Bacteria; Pseudomonadati; Pseudomonadota; Gammaproteobacteria; Enterobacterales; Enterobacteriaceae.
GGGACACGUGGUAUCCUGUCUGAAUAUGGGGGGACCAUCCUCCAAGGCUAAAUACUCCUGACUGACCGAUAGUGAACCAGUACCGUGAGGGAAAGGCGAAAAGAACCCCGGCGAGGGGAGUGAAAAAGAACCUGAAACCGUGUACGUACAAGCAGUGGGAGCCUCUUUUAUGGGGUGACUGCGUACCUUUUGUAUAAUGGGUCAGCGACUUAUAUUCUGUAGCAAGGUUAACCGAAUAGGGGAGCCGAAGGGAAACCGAGUCUUAACUGGGCGUUAAGUUGCAGGGUAUAGACCCGAAACCCGGUGAUCUAGCCAUGGGCAGGUUGAAGGUUGGGUAACACUAACUGGAGGACCGAACCGACUAAUGUUGAAAAAUUAGCGGAUGACUUGUGGCUGGGGGUGAAAGGCCAAUCAAACCGGGAGAUAGCUGGUUCUCCCCGAAAGCUAUUUAGGUAGCGCCUCGUGAAUUCAUCUCCGGGGGUAGAGCACUGUUUCGGCAAGGGGGUCAUCCCGACUUACCAACCCGAUGCAAACUGCGAAUACCGGAGAAUGUUAUCACGGGAGACACACGGCGGGUGCUAACGUCCGUCGUGAAGAGGGAAACAACCCAGACCGCCAGCUAAGGUCCCAAAGUCAUGGUUAAGUGGGAAACGAUGUGGGAAGGCCCAGACAGCCA